Molecule: long non-coding RNA, 22171 nt
Filed under: Prunus persica (peach)
Lineage: Eukaryota; Viridiplantae; Streptophyta; Magnoliopsida; Rosales; Rosaceae
Description: long non-coding RNA (PPER_LNC008295)
Source: RNAcentral
UUUUUUUUUUUUUUCUCUCUUCAGAUUUUGGAAUUGGGAUUUAUUGAAAGAAAUAAGUAUCGAGAGUUUCGUUACUAGUUAACAUGAUUUCCCUUACUAUUCAUGCCUUUACCGUUUAUGUUGUUAUACAUUCUGAGGUAUUCAUGUUUUUAUGGUUUACUCUUGUUAAACAACUUAUAUAUGCUGCUGAGAAAAUCCUUUUUGAAUUAUGAAUAAUAUGAUCAUGAUUCAUGAUCCAUGCCACGGGAUAAAUAAGUAUUUUGUGACACUUGCAAAAUUUAAUCAUAAUAACUGUGCAAUAAUAUCACCCUUGUGAAAAAGAAAAACACUAGCAAAAUCUCUCUUUGUUCCAACAUUACAAAAUAUUUUUGGACGAAGGAAUGAUGUAGAAUUUGAUUUCAAGUACUGUUACAAAGAUGUCAUCUUAACAAAUGAUUAUGGUUGAACCCAAAUACAUGAACUUUCUUUGAUAGCCUGGAGAAGAAAAAAAAAUCAGAGUAUAGCCGCGCGGCUAUACUUAUUUUAACACAUGAGCACCUAGUCGAUGGGGUCCUAUCCUAUUUCAAAUAGUAUAGCCGCGGGGCGAUACUCUGUUUUUCAAAUUUUUUUUAUUUAUAAAAAUAGUGUAGCCAAGCGGUGAUACUCGGUUUUUUAAUGUUUAUUUAAAAAUAGUAUAACCCCACGGCUAUACUUUAUUUUUUUUAAAAUAGUAUAAUCGAUCCGCUAUACUCUUUAUAUAUAGAAAUAUAUAAAUCUAAUAAUUACUAUAAGAGUAGUUUAGAGUAUUAUCCAUUACUAUUAGGCCAUUACCCGAGUCUCUAUUGUCCCCUUUUCAUUUUUUUACUUUUUCAGAGUUAUUGCCAGUAUUAAGAAUUUACCACUUUCAUGUUUAAUACACGUAUUUUUUUACAAAAUUUUCAACAAUAUACACAAAAGUCAAGUAUUAUACACAUAAUUUUCACAGAUUAUUGAAUAAAAAAUAUAUUAAAAUAUUAUAUAGUGACCGAACUUUUCAGUUGUAACUUGCCAAAAUUGUUAAUGAUUACUAAACAAUUUAUCAUGCAACUAAAUUUUACUAGUUUGUAGAGUUGAAAUAGCAAAUUAAUAUCUAUAAAAUAUAAACUAAUACCAGAGAUAAAGGAGCAAAACCAUAAACAGUGCCGUGGCUGCAUGAUUGAUGUUGAAAAUAUUUCCCGUGAAGUGAAAUUAUAUGAAGUGCAGUUGCUUGUUUGCCAUGAAUGCAAAUUUUCAGAUUUGAACUUGGUCUUUGUGUAACAUUUCUGUUAACUCUGGCCAUCAUGCUAUGAGUUUUACAUACUGAUGAUCUCAAAACCCGUCUUCCAUUAAGGGAUGGACUGGUAGGAUAUCACUUGAAAAUUUUCAAUAAUUAUACAGACUGGUGUUUAUGCAGUAUCCCUCAUUUACAUCAUAUUCUCAAGAUCACAUUAACAUGUUCUUGACUUCCAACUUCCUCAUUUUUCUAUUUUAUGAGUUGCAGGAAACCCGAUCAGCUCGAUAGAAAGAUCGUUUCCCUGCCCGUGCAGCUGCAUCCAAUAAUGUUCAAUAUCCAGUCCAAGCAUGCCAUAGCUAGAAACCAAGGGAGAAAGGGAGGUGGAGAUUACUAUGUUAUAGGUUUUGUUGAUAUAUUUGGGUCCAUACUUAUAGAGGAGCUUGUAAACAUGUACUCAUAGACUUUUAUAUUUAAGGUCAGGUCUGUUAAGAAUAUAUCCAUUUCUUUAUUAGUUUCCGCUGAGAUUAGAGAAAAUUUUAUAAUGUACCGUGAAAAUUAAAGAAUUCAAAACUUGAAUAGAUCAGAAUAUUUAGAUUUGGAGCCUUUGGGAUCAAAUUCAAUUAUAAAUAAUUUAUUUUCAAGUGCUUUGUGGUACAAAGAGGUUUGAAAGACAUCCAUCAAUGAGAAUAAUUACACAUAUACGUACUCUUUAUAUGUUCAGAGAGUUCAUAAGAAACCACUAAUUAAUUUAGUAGUUGAAAACAAAAACUGCAUUUGUUAAUUCAUAUGUAUGUAGAUUCACUUGAAUUUGUAGGACAAAUUAUAUCCAGCAAAUCUUCAAGAAGUCAAAUCGAAGAUGCUAUCAGACAUCGAAUUUGUUGAUGAUACAGCAUCAAUAGCCCUGAUUUGAUAUAUGUUUGUUUGAAAAAUAGAAUGUAAACAAAAGGAAGAACCAUGAGUGGGCACAGUCCAGUUUGGUCUUGUUCUCAUCACAAAUUGGAAUCAAAAUUGGUACUAUUCAUUCGGUUCGAUUUAGAGUCAGUUUGGUAUUGUUGUGCUAUGAAAAUAAUCUCUUUCAGAUUUGCUGUGAGAGAAAUAAACUGUCAAUAAAAGCAAUUUAGCAUUUGGUAAACUGUAUUGUGAAAGUGAUAUUAGUACAACAAUUAAUUUAUAAGUGCUUGGUAAAAUUAUUUGUAAAAAUGAUGUGAGUUGUGUAUAAUGACUAAAAAGGACAAAAUGUUAAAAUGAUUAGUUUGAUAAAAAGAAUUAACACUUUCACUUUGACUUAUACAAUUCUUUUAUUUAAAUAUGUUUCUUAAGUUAACCAUCACACCUCAAAAUUUGAUUCAAUCAUGAAAAAAAUGUAAUAAACAAACCUUCACAGCAAAAACAAAUCAUGGAAAUAAUAAACUCUAGCAAUUUAUAAACAUGCUACCUCCAUUAGAAUGCCAAAUUGCCAAUCAAACUAUCUGGAAAUCAAAACUUGAAACAUGAAUGAAUUUCUUUUGUUUAAAAAGAAGAAAAAUAAGGCUUAAAUGUCAAAAUGGUCCCUGUGUUUUAUCCAUUCGGUCAAUUUAGUCCUUGUGCUUUUAAUUUGCAUGCGUCCAAACACACAUAAAGCCUUUGAAAAUGAGGAGGAUCCACUUUCAUCAACAUACUACUGCUGUUAUUAGUCUGUCUAAUAUCUUCACAAUACUCCCAUAACUUUUCGUAUUGUUGAGCAUAAGUGCCCUCAAUCAAAGUUUGAGCCUUCCUCUUUGCUUUAUAUCAUUGAUCUGUGGAAACUUAAUAUCCCAAUUCUCUAUGAACCUCUGAUUGAAGCGUUGUCUUUUUAAUCUUAGGAUCAUCUUUAAUCCUACUCAUAUACCUUUGAGAAAGGAAAGUUGAAGUGAUGUUUUUGUUAUGGAAACCUUUGGAACAUGAAUGCUUAGGAGUGUAGCUCUUAAUUUGAUAAGUGUUUUCUCCCUGCAUCAAAGAAGCAUACAACCUCCACUUACAAUCUUCCUUGCACUUAGCAGACAACCUGAACUUAUCAUUUUUCACUACCUUGCAUUCAUAUGACCCUAAGGACAGAGAAGAAGAUUUCCACCCUUCCAAUCGUUUCUUUAUGCGUUCUCUGAUGAAGCCAAGGGCUGACUUCUAUGAUCUUCCCCAAAUUGAAGGCAGACCCAAAUAAAUUCUAGGAUUAUCAAUACCAGUAAUUCCCAUUGAAGAGCAGAUACUUGCUUGCCGGUGAUGAAGGGUGUUCUGGCUGAAGUAAAUACAUGACUUCCGGAAAUUAAUUUCUUGACCUGAGGCAAGACAAUACUCUUGGAGAACCUUCUUAAGACGAGCACAGUUAGAUUCCUCAGCCUUAAAAAAGAACAAAGAGUCAUCUGCAAAGAAAAUAUGAGAAAGAAUUGGAGCACCUCUCGCCACUUUAACUCCUGCAAGUUCACCCUCGUUAACAAGCUUCGAAAUAUUAAGGGACAACACUUCAUAGAUAAUGAGAAAGAGAUAUGGGGAUAGUCUCCUUGUCUGAGUCCUCGAGAAGGGAAGAAGGAAGCUUCAGGUUGUCCAUUUAGGAGGAUAGAGAAAGAGACUGUCGAAAUACAGGUUGGGUCAUCGAUAUGGGACACACAUGCACACCAAGAAUACAACGAUAUAUGGUGAUUCACCCGAAUGGGCUAUGUCCACGUUGAGUUGUACAGUUGUUUUAACUAUACGGUUGUUACAUUGUACAUAGGCUUGAGAGCCUUUGAGAGAGUGAAAUAACAACUUAGGUUACAAAUUCUAUAGUAACGAUGCCACAUAUGAACUAUAGAUGUGGCUAAUAUGAAGGUCCACGUAAGGAGUUCACAUGAGUUAUCCAUUGUGGGCUUGCUUGUGGGCUUUAGUGAGGCCCAAACCAUGGUACCAACACUAAUGUUCCUUCAUACAAAUUACAACUUGCAAGAAUAUUUUGGAGCUACUUGCAUUCAUACUAUUUUAUUUUGUAAAAAGAAAAAUAUUAACCAAAUCUCAGUUCAAGACACAAGCAAAAAAACGUUAUUAGAAAAAUAAAAAGGCCAAAGCCAAUUCAACAAAUAACAUAUAGGCGAACUAGAACAAAAUACAAGAUCAAAUAAUUAAACCAAGACAUAGUUUAUCAUGAAAAACAAAAAGAUGAUAAAUACAUUAGGCCAUCUCCGAUGAUAAGCUGUAAGCAUAGUAAGGGGCGUAGGAGAAAAGCAUAGUCUUUAAUAUCGUUUGUAAAAACAAAAAAAACAAAAAAAAAAGGGGGAAUUAUCUUCUCACACGAUUAUAGAGAGAGAGUAUUUGACCGUUGAAAAUGAGGGUGAAAAUACAUGGAAGGAAGCAGAUUUUGUGUAGUAGCAUGUGAUAUGGUCAAAAAACGCAUAAAUAUACUCUUUGAUUGAAUUUUUGAGAUCAUGAAGGCAGACGUAUCCAAUUCCGAGGUGGGAGGAAUACUUGCCGACAAUAUGAAGUUUCCUAGGAAUUUAGAGGAAAAUAGAGAAUUCAUCAACUAUAUACAAUGAAGAUUCCUAGAAAAUAAAAGGAACAUAACAUAGCUACCCCUCUUACGAUCAGGUCUUCCUUUGUUAUUGAAUACCCCCAUGGACCCCAUCAAACAAAUAAUAAUUUUAAUCAAACCUUGCUUUCACCUCCCCCUCUCCAAGUACUCACUCAUUUGUGCUAUUUGUGAGAUUCAUAAAUCCGUUUUUUAUUCCAUUUUGAUAUUAAGGAUGUGGACGUGAAGAAAUGUCUUAUAUAAUAGUUCAAGUCUUUAGAGCAUUUAUAAUGGGCUCCUUAAAUCACAUUCUUAGAUAAAUUUUAAGGAGGAAUUGGAAAAAUACAACUCCAACCAUGCUCCAUAUCCAUCUCCUAAAUUACAGAGACCUCUAGGAGCUCUUAAAUCUGAGGAGAGAGAAAGAACUCAUAAUGGCUCCCUAUAAUUUAAUGUUGCUUUAUUUAAUCAGUACUAGCCCCUUGGUACAUGCUUGUGCCAAUUGGUUUUCUUUUUUAUUUUAUUAUUUUAUUUUUAGAAUUAAAAAAAGAUAACAUAGGUAGUUAUGUUCCAUAAAAGUAUGACCUAUAAUCUGAUUUUAUUUUAUUAAUGCUAAUUCUUUUUAUAUUACUUUUUAAUAGAUAUUGACCAAUUACAAAAUAGUUAUGGCAUUUUUGACUCUCUAAAUUAAAAAGCAUGAUUGGAGUUUAAAUUUUAUAAAAACUUCUAAAAUAAUUUUUAUAUAUUUUUAAUUAAAUUUUAAUUAAAAAAUAAAAAGCACGAUUAUGGAUGCUUAAUGUGCUCAACUUCCUAAUGUGGACAUUUCUUUACAUUCCUCUCAGACGUCCCCACACGGAUGGACAUUUCGUCACAUUUCUUGCACGCAGGGACUACAGAUGGAGGCCAGUGAGACCGCCGAACUUUAAAUUGACUAGCCCUCCCAAGGUCUUUCCUUGUAGUAGACUACAUAUAUAUUUAUUUAUUGUUUUGUUAAUGCAUGAAUUUUCCCCUGUAGACAAUAUUUAAUGGCCACCUUCAGCUCCGUCUCUGUCGAAGCACUCAUUGUGCAAAAUAUUAACUGAUGAUCAGGUAUUUGGAAGCAUGUAUCCACCCACAUUUUACACAGACUAGAAUCUAGAUUAAAAUUAUAUAUAAUAUAUAUUUUUUAUUAUUGUAUAAUUAAUUAAGUUUUCGAUUCUCUAUAUUGCAGGAGGGGCUAUUAAUGGCUUCAGCAAUUAUGGAGAUAUCCCAAGAGAUAGCUGUGGAGUUAGUUUCUUCUACUCUUCUAAUUAUAUUAUUUCUUAAUUUCUCAUCUUUUUUUUAUAAUUUAAAGAAAUAGAACUGUAUUGAAACAAUCUGAUCUCAUGUUAUUGUUAUUUCAAUCUGAUCCUAUUUCAGAAGCCAAUAUUAUAUUGGAUAUAUUUCACUUUAUCACCCGCAAGUUUUUCGAAAUUCUGACUUUACUACACAAAGCUUUUAUCUUUUCACUUUCAUUCCCAUCGUUUACUUUUACCAUCAGUUCAUGUUCUCUGUUAACCCAUAAAAUAUAAGUAAAUAAAUAAAUAAACUUACAAAUAUAAAAAACCAUUAUCUAGCUGCCUCCACCUUCUUCUCCUCCGUGCACACCACCAUCUCCUCACCGUCUCUCUCUCUUCGGAUGAACCCAUUCGCAACCCCAUCUCCAGAUACAACCCCAAACAACCAAACCGCACAGCGAGGAAAGCUCAACCCAACCACCAUUCCCACCACCCCCAGCGAACCAAAUCACCCCUGCCUUGCGCUUUCUCCCUCACUGCGCACACCACCCCAUCCCCCAAAAUUCUCAGCACACACAACCUCUUAUUUUCCUCCCCAAAUUCAACAAUUUUUUUCCCAAAUCCAAGACUAAUUCAACGAUUUUUUCUCCAAUCCAACCACCAACGAAUUCACCCUACGAGGACAUUAGAGUACUACUUGAUCUUCACAAACCCAAUCAUCAGCUUCAGUGUCUGAUCUGAAAAAACACACGCCCUUUGAAAUUAGAACAAUACCCAGAUAUGUAAAAACACACACCCUUCCCCGACCCGCUCCCUCCCUCUCUCUCUCACCUUCUGUUUUCCUCUCUACCCAGACCACCCCACAAGCCCAACGCCACCAUACAACUACCCCUAUCCCCACUCGAGAUCCACCCCCAGCCCCAGCCUCACCCGAGACCAUCCCCCAACCCCUGCCCAAAUCCCAGCCCCUCCUCUAUCUCUAUUCCCUGUCGUUAGUUGCAGAGAGAGAGGAGAGAGUUUUCAAAAUUUUGUUUUUUUAUUUUAUGGUUUUUUAUUUUUUUAAUUGUUAAUUGAUUCUUUUAUUUUUUUUAUUUUUUUUAUCAGUUGAUGUGGCACAAUAUGUCUAUUUUUAAUGUGCCAUUCAUUGUCAUGUCAUCAUUUAACAAAUAACUUAACAAUUUGAUUAAUAGAGAUAUGAAAGUGAUAGAAAAAUUAAAUUUUCGGUACGAAGUUGAUACGAAAAAAACUUCAUAUAGCGAAGCUAUAAUUUUGAGAAACUUACAAGUACUAAAGUGAAAUUUACCCUAUUAUAUAUGAUCUGAUUGUCUUCUUAUUCAAUGCCUCUCUUGAAGUUUCUUCUUUCUUUUUUGGUUGGAUAAAAAAAAGGGCCCAUAAUAGAGGCCCAAUUUCUCUUGCCUACGUAAAGGCUCUCUCACACUAGACAAGGCAGAUACCAGUUCUUUACUUUGUACUAAUUACUGCAUUAAUCUUGUUGAUCCAAGAUGCAUAUACACGUGUUAUAAUAUGAAUAGACGAUAUCGUUUGUUUUCCCUAAUCCAAUUUUGUGCAUCAACAUUUGUUUGUUAUAUCUUUUUCAGCAUUGUAGAACGUAUACCAAGAGAAUCGUCACUACGAAGGUAAUAAAAACGAAAGUACGCAUGGAUCCAUAAAGAACCUUAUAUCAUAUAAAAUUUAAUUAGGGUUUUAUUUAUCUAUAUUUGUAGUACCUAAUUUUUGAUAUGUUUAUGAUGUGUUUUCAGUUGGGCAAUUGAGGAAUCUGCCACUAUAAAUGAAGGUCAUAGAUCAAGUAGAGAAUGGCCAAAAAUAAUAAAGAGUAUUUUUUAUCGAGGUCGGUCAUUUCUUCCAAAGUGGAAGAGGGCAUUUUUAGCAUCAUGUGUAUUUGGGGUCUUAAUAGAUCCGUUAUUCUUUUAUAUUCCUAUUGUCAACAAGGAUAAGAAGUGCAUCGGGUUAGAUAAAAGUUUGAAGGGAGCCGUUAUUUCACUACGAUCGACAAUGGAUCUAUUUUAUUUAGUGAACAUUGUUAUUCAAAUUUAUAUCGAACCUAAAGUUCCAACAAUUAGGGUCAUGGGGAGAUCAUAUCUUCAUACCAUAGUUUUGACAAAAGGAACCAUAUUAGUUGAAGAUGCUUUGGCAAUGGCUAACAGGAUUUGGAGGAUCUCAUCACAUAUCUUAAUUGACAUUUUAGCUGUUCUUCCCAUUCCACAGGUAUGAGAAAAAUUGGUUUACCAAUCUCUCUUUUAAAAGUAUUUGAAAUUCGGAUAUGUGAAUAUAAGCUAAAUUAACUGUUGGCUUAAUCCAUUGCACUGUGUCCAGGCAGUGAUCCUUAUCUUCAUGGACUCUAGUUCUUUGAAUACGAGGAAGUUUUUGGCUUUUCUUGCUCUGUUACAAUAUGUACCACGAGUUCUUCGUAUCUACUUAUUGUGUACAAAAUUCAACAAGACUCCUACCAGAGAGACUGAAAUAUGGAUUUUAUUUAAAGGCGCAUUCAGUUUCUUUUUGUACAUCCUUGCUAGUCAUGUAAGUUUCAAUAUUCAUAUAUUAAUUUAUCUCAAGUGAUGCUCCAUUUGGUUUCCAAGUUUUGGUUGGAUUUCUUGGCUGGAAACCAAGUUCUCAAAUUAAUCAACCUUGUCACCAAUUUAUGAACAAAAUAAAACAUCAUUUAAUUUCCUAUGAAUACUUUGUAGCAACUUUUCUCAAAAGUUUGUUUGCUAACUUAUUAACUUGUUGAUGUUCUUAGGUAUUUGGAGCUUUCUGGUACUUUUUAGCUAUCCAGCGGGAGGCGGCUUGCUGGCAAAAUGCUUGUCGAAACAACAAUGGAUGUGAACCAACUACCUUCUACUGCAAUGGUCGUACAAUCAAAGACAUCACAUUUCUGGACGACUUAUGCUCUAUAAAUCCACACAAUACUAAUGCAACACCCUUCUGUUUUGGUAUGUUUGUUGAGGCUGUCCAGUCUGGUGUGUUGGAGUCAACAAAUUUACCGAAAAAAUUCUUUCAUUGUUUCUGGUGGGGCUUGCGAAAUCUAAGGUUUGAACAUAAUUUUGCAUUACUGUAUUUUUUAGAAGGAACAAAUUUACAAUUGUCUAGAUUUAAAACAUGUGGUUUUCUUAACGUUACUCUUUUACGUUGCCUAACAUCACAUACACAUAUGCAUAAAAUGGUGUUUUAACUUGUAAUGUCUUUUAACAUAGACGACAGGUCCUAGAAUAUUUUAUUACCUGCAGUACAUUGAAUAUAUUUCCUCUGUUUCUAUUCUGCAGUUCUCUUGGGCAAAACCUCGAGACGAGUAACUAUACAUGGGAAAAUAUCUUUGCCAUUUUUAUUUCUCUAAGUGGCUUGCUCCUGGUUCUACUAUACCUCACUACAAAUUUGAAGGUUGGUGCCAGAACUUCUAAAUUAACUUAGGGCUCGUAUGGGAGUUGGUAACUAGAUGGUGGACAUGGAAAUUAGGGUUACAAGAACUCAUGAUUGUCGUGUAACAGAUAUGUAUGGAGUUGGUAACUAGAACAUCAGCGAAGAUGAGAAUUAUACGGCAGCUGAAAAUGAAAGAUCUAGAGGUACAAUUCUGGUUAUCUGAAAAUGACAUCCCUAAGAAUAUGAAGGCGACCAUCAUGCAAAAGGUGCACAAACAACUUGAACAAAACAAAGAUGUUCGUGUGGAGAAUAUCCUCUAUAUUCUUCCCUUGGAACAAAAGAGAUUUAUCAAGCGACAUCUCUGCUGGCCUACAAUGAAGAAAGUAAGUUCCCCUCCUCUCCAAAGCGUUCAAUUUUUCGUUAUUUUAAUUAGUAAAGGGAGUACUGGAAUUCCAAAAUAGUUGUCUCGUUUCUUAUUAAUUUUAUAAUUCGUAGUUUAGUUUUUCUUGGUUUAACAUGUCGUACCGUUUAAGUUUUUAAAUUAACAUUUAAAAUUAGGUGCCAAUGCUUCGAGUUAUGGACGAUCACGUGUUGAAAGAAAUCUUUGACAAUCUCAAGCCAGUGAGCUAUACAGAAGACAAAUGUAUAAUUGGAGAGGGUGAACCACUUGUUAAAAUGCUCUUCAUCACUCGAGGCAUUUUGUUGACCUACACAACUAACAAUGGUGCUAGAAGAAGUAGUGGAGGUUCUUCAACCACCAAGUGUCUUGCCAAAGGUGAUUUCUAUGGAGAAGAACUUCUAACCUGGGCAUCAACAUUCUCCCCGCUUUCAGACUUACCCAUCUCCACAACAUUUGUCAAGUCCCUCACAAAAGUUGAAGCAUUUGCGCUCAUGGCCAAUGACUUGAAGACUAUAGCGUCUAAAUUCUGGAGGCAUUUUAGAACGGAUGCUCGGAUGCAGGUACAUCUCUCUGCAAAUCUUAUACAAACCAAUUGGCGCCGCCGCUAUACAAGGAGGGGCCGGUGGUAUAGCUUGAAAGAGCUGGAGAUUGCGACGCGUGGAUUUUCUCCAGAGAACGUGAUUGGAGGAGGAUACGACGUCGUUUUCAGAGGAAUUUUGCAGGACGGCCAUGUCGUGGCGGUCAAGAACCUUCUCAACGACGGGUACGUGUCUUUUUACUCAAUUUCAAAUCUUCCCCUCUUUUUUUUUCAUCGAAAUAUUUCUUGAAUCAAUAGCUAAUAUAGAGUAAACCUCGUUGGCUUCACUGAAUCAAUAACUAAUAUAGUAAUCACUGUUUAUACACUCAGUGACCUGCUUUUCUUUUGAUUAAAAAGAAAAAGAGCCUCCCUUUGUUCCGCUGUACGAGGAAAAGAAAAUUACUAUGCGCUUUUAACACUUUUAUUCUUCAGUCUUUUUAUUUUUAGUAUCUUUACUGUAUACAAUUUCAACUUUGUUCUUUCUUCAUGCCUCAUUGUUAUGUCUGAUCUUCAGAGCUUGUUUUCACUUUUCAUCAUUGAUUUUCUACUUUUGAUUGACCAAAUAUUACUUUGUCAUCGAAACAUUCCCAUUUUAAUAUUAAAUAUAUUAAAAUACCAUACCAGAAACAAUAGGAGCAAAAACAUAAACAGUGCCGUGGCUCCAUGAUGGAUGUUGAAAAUUUUUCCUGUGAAAUGAAAUUAUAUGAAGUGCAGUUGCUUUUUUGCCAUGAAUGCAAAUUUUCAGAUUUGAACUUGGUCUUUGUAUAACAUAUCUGUUAACUCAAAAUUUAAUUGCUGCUUGCCAUCUUACAUAUAGGGGUCAGGCAGAGAUACUGUUUAAGGCGGAAGUGGAAGCCAUUGGUAAAGUAAAGCAUAAGAACUUGGUGGGUCUAAUUGGCUAUUGUGCUGAAGGCCCUCAAAGGUAACUCUAUUGUCAUAUCUUUUAGGUGAAUUCAGAUUAACCUGUUUCUUCCUCUAAUUAACAUGUCCAUGGGGACUUCUACUGCUCUGCCAGGAUGCUUGUACAUGAAUACAUUGACAAUGGCAAUUUGGAGCAAUGGUUGCAUGGUGAUGUUGGGCCUGUCAGCCCUCUGACCUGGGAUAUUCGAAUGAAAAUAGCUGUCGGGACAGCAAAAGGGUGAGAUAAUUCUGUAUUCUUCUUGUUCAUUUUGCUUGUAUUUAACGAUUAUAUGUCUCAGUAUGACAGGAUCUGUAACAUAUUGCACUGCUUUUGUCAUUCUCACGAUCUCCCUACUUUGGCUAUGAAAAUAUAUUAUCCUGCAUCACUAUAAACCUAUUCUUGUUUUUCUAACAGGCUGGACUACUUGCACGAAUGGUUAGAACCCAGGGUGGUGCAUCGUGAUAUAAAACCCAGCAACAUUCUUCUGGAUAGAAAAUGGAACCCGAAAGUAUCAGGUUUUGGCGUGGCCAAGCUCUUAGCACCUGAGUCAAGCUAUGUGACUACAUCUGUAGUGGGGACAAUGGGGUUAGUUCUUUCUUGAAUUCUGAAGAUAUUUCAAUGAUACAUUACCUGGAUGGUAUCUCUACUAUGUUGUAGUACUGAUUCUUCACUGUAAUUUUCUGUAGAUAUAUAUGUCCAGAGUAUGUCAGGACAGGUAUGCUUAACGAGUGGAGUGAUGUAUAUAGCUUUGGAAUUCUACUCAUGGAGAUAAUUACAGGAAGAAGACCAAGUGACCCUUCCAGACCAGAUGAAGAGGUAAAGCCAAGUUUUCAUUCUCUGUUUCCUAGAAGCGCUGCAACAAUGUCCUAACUGUUUCAGUUGAGGUAUAUCAGAUAUUCCUGGUUGAUUGGUUUAAAGAAAUGAUCCAAAGUCGCCGUGGGGAGGAGGUUGUAGAUCCUCUGAUAGAAGUUCGGCCCUCUCCAAGAGCUAUGAAGCGAGCAUUGCUGGUUUGUCUCCGCUGUACAGAUUCAGAUGUCAACAAGCGACCAAAAAUGGGGCAAAUUGUUCAUAUGCUUGAGGCAGAUGACUUCCCUGAUUGUUCUGAAAGUCCUUUCUUAUCAUGUAUGUUCCUGUCCCACUUAGAAUUUUCUUGGUCUGGUCGAUCACCAGUAUUAUGACUUUGCAUAAAUUUUGAGUCGUAUAUUAAAGAGUUGCCCUCUCCACAAAUUUCUGCCUUUGCAUGGUUUGAUCUCAAAACCUGUCUCCUAUUAAGGUGGAGAGGCAGCACUUGGUCUGAUGAUGGGACUGGUAGGAUAUAAAUUAUGUAGAGAGACUGGUGUUUUGUAGAUGCAUUGCAGAUGUGUUAUUUCUUCAACAUCAAGAUCACAUUAACAUGUUCUUCAUUUUCAGCUUCCUCAUUUUUCUGUUCUAUAAGCUGCAGGAAACCUGAUCAACCCGAUAGAAAGAUCAUUUCCCUUCCCAUGCAGCUGCAUCUGAUAAUGUUCAAUAUCCAAUCCAAGCAUGCCAUGGAUAGAAAUGAAGGGAGAUAUGGAAGUGGAGAUUAUUAUGUUUUGGCACAGGAGGCAGUUCCUGAGGCCAUUUGACUUCUUAUCAUGAUUCUCCAUUAGUAUAUAGAAAAGAUAUUACAAGCCUUGAAUGUGCAUAUAAUUUUUUAUAUAAUUUUUUCCAUGAUCUUAUAGAUUUUGUUGAUAUAUUUGGAUUCAUACUUAGGAGCUUGUAAAUAUGUACUUAUAUCUUUUGAUAUGUAAGGUGAGGUCUGCUAAGAAUAUCCUUUAAAAAAAAAAAAUCAGAUUCCGAUGCAAUUAGAGAAAAUUUUAUAAUCGAGUCCCAAAUGGCGAAGCCUACGUCUUUUGUACCCUAGUUUAACAACUUAUACAUGCAACAGAAUUUUUUAUAUGAAAUAAAGAGAAAUUAUGCCAAAUGAAUCUUCUCUCAAGUUCUUGCAAAAUAAAUAAAUAUACUAACUUGGAAGAAGGGUGAAUCAAGAAAAUUUGUACAUAACCCACCAAUAGUGGUUGCCAAAUGACAUAUCAAAUGGGCUUUGUACAAUUUUUAACUGUUUGCUUCUUCUUCUGCAUUUGUAAGCCUUAGAAACAAAAAUUGAAGAAACAGCAAGUAUAUCAUCAAUUCCAGUCAAAUCAACAAUUAACCUAUAAAUGAAAAUAAGAAUAUACCCAAGAAGAUAGUAACAAAUUUAGCAACAUAAAUUUUUAAUAACCUUUUCAGAACGAGGAAUAAAUUAAACAUAUAGGGUCUGAUUGUAAUUAGGCUAAACUUCAAGAGUGUAAUCUUAUAAUUAAAACUCUCUAAAUAUAAAAAGUUGUUUGAAAAAAUAUAAAAUUAUAUACGUUUUCCCAACACCAUACAAUCCUAAAAGAGGUUGAUAGAAUCGUAUUUAGAGCUCAGAUGAAAUCUUUGGGGCUCUAAAAACAACACUCUCACAACAAGAGGACUCUAUAUAUGGAGCUCUAUAUUCAAUAUAAUUUUAUAUAUGUGUGAAUUUUUUUGGAAAAAAGCUAUUUUGCUUGAAUGUAUAUUAUGAUAUGUCAGUUUUUGUGUUUGAACAUUUCGACAAAAAUCAAAAUCGAAAUUUGGAUCAGAUUUGAAAAUCUUAUCUAUUUAUAAAUAAUAAAUAAAAAAACUUGAUUGUUACUUUGAAAAAAAAAAAAAAAAAAAAAACCCAAACACAAACCUUAUCUAGCUCAUUCCUUUCAUUAGUCACAUUAAAUAAAAAUAAAAGAAAGAGGAAGCAUCCGUUGGUCAAGAAGAGAGUAUGAGGAGCCAUAGUCGCAAGGCAACUCACCGACAACACAAAUUGGCAGCUUUUUCUCCAUGCGGGCCUUAUUGAGUUUCAUGGGCUCAACUACAAACAUAAAUAUGUGUAUAGCUCUAGUGGGGCUCAAUCAUUUAAGGUCUCAAAAUUGAACCACUGGAGAUGACUUUUUUGCUUUGGUUGCUAUAUAUUGCAGCCUAAUUAGACCUGACAUUCGUGUCGCGCUCGUGUCAUUGCCAAAGCUAGAUGGUGUUGACAUGGAAAUUAGGGUUAAAAGAAUUCGUGAUUGUCGUGUAACAGAUAUGUAUGGAGUUGGUAACUAGAACAUCAGCCAAGUAGUGGAGGUUCUUCAACCACCAAGUGUCUUGCAAAAGGUGAUUUCUAUGGAGGAGAACUUCUAACCUGGGCAUCAACAUUCUCCCCGCUUUCAGACUUACCCAUCUCCACAAGAUUUGUCAAGUCCCUCACAAAAGUUGAAGCAUUUGCACUCAUGGCCAAUGACUUGAAGAUUAUAGCGUCUAAAUUCUGGAGGCAUUUUAGCAUGGAUGCUCGGAUGCUGGUACAUCUCUCUGCAAAUCUUAUACAAACCAACCGGCACCUCCACGAUACAAGGAGGGCUAUAAUUUUUUUUUUCAAUGAAACUUUAAUUCUUUGUUUUGGGCGGAUAUAUGCUUCUACUGUGCAUGGCAUGAGAAGCAGAUGUAUUGAUCUAAGUUCAACGGGGUGAGGACGAAACACACCCCGGUAUUGCAAAUUUCUGUUCUCCUAUCACCAAGUGCAUUCUUAGUUCCCACAUGGCACAUGGCAACUUAUAUCUCAUUCUCCCAACACCAAGUCUAUAUACCUUUGUACCGGUCGAAAAUUUGAGCAAAAGGAAAUUGAAAGAAGAGAUCAAAGGAUGAUUUUGAACUGAUAGCACCCCUACGAACUACAGCAAGACACCAAUAAUAACCAAUGGCAAUACUGAUUUCUAAUCACAAAUUAUUGCAUUAAGCACUGAGAGGUUAAUUCUCCAAGAUAACAGAUAAGGUUGAACAUGAUCUUGAAGUUCCACAACAUUCAGUCAAUUGUGUCAAUAUGGCGGCAGACGAUUCAAAAUUCAAACAAUACAUACGAUAUUUUUGUUCCGACAAUGUGAUGGAGAAUGGAUGCGAGAAGGAGAUUUCCUAUCCUAGCAGGAAAAGGAGGGAAACGGAUACUCAAUUUAAAGUGAGUAAACAGAAUUCCAUACUCGAUCUCAGCUAGGGUUAUGAACUUAUAAUCUAUAAUCUGAUGAUCGAGUCGAUUCCAUGAUUAUAAGUUCAUUCCAUACCGGACCAGACCUAUCGAACUAGUAUACCCCUUUAUCAACGAAAAAUAGACACAAUGUAACUUUAUUGCAUUGGAAAAAAAUAUGAUGUGGACCGUGGAUUAUCUUGGGGAAAGGAUUAAUAUUUGUUUGAUUCUUUUCGUAAUAAUUACUUUUAGUAAUAAUGAAACUAUUUUGUUCGUAGGAACAAAAAGAAGCAGAUCUAUUCUACACCCGAUAAGUACCAAUACGCAAUGGUAGGGGAGUUGAUACCAUUUUAUAUGAGUGAAUGCAUAUAUAUAUAUAUAUAUAUUUGUUCAUCAUCCAAAGGACUUAUUUGUAAGAAUUUUCCUUUAUUCAUUUUGUCUUCUUUAUCUUUUUUUAUGAACUUUAUCAAUCUAUGGAUAAAAUAUGAUAAAAGGCCAAUAUUAUUAGGACAAUAAACCCAUUGUUACGCUUUCACAUCAAAGUGAGACAUAGUACUUAAUUUUCUUUUAUUUAAUGCCUAUUGGUGUUCCGAGAGUACCUUUUCGAAGUCCCGGAGAGGAAGAUGCAUUGUGGAUUUCUUUUAUCACUUAGGAGCCGCUUUCUAGACGAUCCCUAAUAGAAAAGAGGGGGAUUAUAAAAAUCUGUCUAGUUACUUCGUUCUCUAUUUCUAUUUGAGAGAAUCCUUAGGAAAAGCAUUUUGUUUCCACCAAUAUCAUUAUUUGCAUUUUGCAUAAGGUUUUACAGUAAGGACCAUUCACUUUUUAUCAUCAUAAGAGGGAGAAAAAUCUAUAUUGACGUUUCUUCAGACGAAUGCUUUGCCUUCAUUUCCCCGAACUCUUGCAAAUAACUCUCCAUCAUUACCUUUCUUUCACCUUUUUACUAAACUAGUUAAGCUGUGCAUCAAAGUUCAGAAAUGAGCAGCAUGGCAAAGCGAGUAGAAAAAAGCACUUUUCAGAAAGGGAAGUUUCAGUGACAUUUCUGAGAAGGAUCAAAGAUAGUUAGGUGGGGACUUGACAAAAAGAAAAUGGAAUAGCUUUGUGUUCAAUUUUUAUUAUAUAUGUAUCUAUGAUCAGCUAGCAACUCAUUGGCUUGAGUUAAGGUCACUACCAUAUGUCUGCAACCAUAGUGACCAUAUGGUUGACACAGACAUAUCCUUGUUCCUUUCUUAAGUUUCUCCAUUCUCAAUAUAUAUCCCACACAGGGACAAGGACAUGUCUGCAACCGCUUGGGGAACGAACACUUUAUUAUAUAUAAAAUAAAAAAUUAUUAAAAAAUUUCCAAAAUUCCUCAUAUAUGAAGGAGAACACUUUGCAAAUGUAAAAAAUUCCUUAGGAAAUCCAAAAAGAAAUAAGGGCAUUUUUGUCUAUUUUAGCUUAUUUUACAAAUAUUUCUCUCUCUUUUGACCUUUUUCAAAAUGUUCCAAAAUAUUAGUGGAAGUAUGAAAGCGAUAGUAAAAAUAAACGUUGAGAAUGAAAAUGAGAAGAAAAAACUUCAUGUAGUAAAGUCAGAAAACUUUCACUUUUGAAAAAAGUCAAAAAUUUUCUAAAGAAGACAGAAAAAUUUCUCAAUUUUCAAACCAAGAUAUGUAAAUAUAAAAUUUUUUUAAGGAAAUUCAAAAAGAAAUAAGGGCAUUUUUGUCUAUUUUAGUUUUUUUUACAAAUAUUUCUCUCUCUCUUUUGACCUUUUUCAAAAUGUUUCAAAAUAUUAAUGGAAGUAUGAAAGUGAUAGUAAAAAUAAACGUUGAGAAUGAAAAUGAGAAGAGAAAACUUCAUGUAAAAUUUGCAGAUGGUAAAGUAAAAUUUACCUAAUAUAAUAUUGGCUUCUGAAAUAGGAUGAGAUUGAAAUAACAAUAAGAUGGGAUCAGAUUGUUGCAAUACAAUUUUAUUUCUUUAAAUUGAAAAAAAGAUGAAGAGUAGAAGAAACUAACCUCACAACUGUCUCUUGGGACAUCUCCAUAAUUGCUGAAGCCAUUAAUAGCCCCUCCUGCAAUAUAGAGAAUCGAAAACUUAAUUAAUUAUACAAUAAAAAAUAUAUAUAUUAUGUAUAAUUUUAAUCUCUGUAAAAUUUGGGCGGAUAUAUGCUUCUGAAUACCUGAUCACCAGUUUAAUAUUUUGCAAAAUGAGUGCUUCGACACAGAGGGAGCUGAAGGUGGAAUUUAUACAAAUAUAUAGUAUAAUAUUACACUGUAGCUUGAGUCCCUACGUGAGUCAAUUAACAAUUGUCAAAAAUACCUUAACGAAAAGUAGCUUAAUACUGCAGUAUAAACGAAAAGUAGGAAUUUUUAUUUUUAAUUUAUAAUUAUUUUAUAAUUUUAUAAUUGUUAAUUGAUUCUUUUAAUUUAUUUUAUCUAUUUUAUUUUAUUUUAUCAGUUGAUGUGGCUUUUAUAUAUGAUCUGAUUGUCUUCUUAUUCAAUGACUCUCUUGAAGUUUCUUCUUUCUUUUUUGGUUGGAUUAAAAAAAAAGGCUCAUAAUAAGGGCCCAAUUUCUCUUGCCUAUGUAAAGGCUCUCUCACACUAGACAAGGCAGAUACUAGUUCUUUACUUUGUGCUAAUUACUGCCUUAAUCUUGUUGAUCCAAUAUGGUUGUACAAGUAUUAUGAUAUGGGUACACGAUCUUGUUUAAUUUUCUUCCUUUUUGAUCCAAUUUUGAACAUCAACAUUUUUCAGCAUUGUAGAACAUAUUGCACCAGGAGAAUUGUCACCACGUACGAAAGAAUGCAUCGAUCCAUAAUGAGCCUUAUGUCAUAGAAAAUUUAAUUAGGUGUUUUAUUUAUCUAUUUGUAGUACCUGAUUUUGAUAUGUUGUUUAUGAUGUGUUUUCAGUUGGGCAGUUGAGGAAUCUGCGACUGGAGAUGAAGGUUAUAGACCAAGGAGAGGAUGGCCAACAAUAGUAGAGAGCAUUUUUUAUCGAGGUCGGUCAUUUCUUCCACAGUGGGAGAGGGCAUUUUUGGCAUCAUGUUUAUUUGGGGUCUUAAUAGAUCCUUUACUAUUUUAUAUUCCUAUCGUCAACAAGGAUACCAAGUGCAUCAGGUUGGACAACAGUUUGAAGGGAGCGGUUAUUUCCCUACGAUCGAUAAUGGAUCUAUUUUAUGUAGUGAACAUUGUUAUUCAAAUUUAUGCCGAACUUAAAGUUCCAACAUUUAGGGUCAUGGGGAGAUCAUAUCUCCGUACCAUAGUUUUAACAAAAGGAACCAUAUUAGUUGAAGAUGCUUUGGCAAUGGCUAACAGGAUUUGGAGGAUCUCAUCACACAUCUUAAUUGACAUUUUAUCGGUUCUUCCCAUUCCACAGGUAUGAGAAAAUUGGUUUACCAAUCUCUCUUUUAAAAGUAUUUGAAAUUCGGAUAUGUGAAUAUAAGCUAAAUUAACUGUUGGCUUAAUCCAUUGCACUGUGUCCAGGCAGUGAUCCUUAUCUUCAUGGACUCUAGUUCUUUGAAUACGAGGAAGUUUUUGGCUUUUCUUGCUCUGUUGCAAUAUGUACCACGAGUUCUUCGUAUCUACUUAUUGUGUACCAAACUCAACAAGCCUCCUGCUAAAGAGACUGAGAUAUGGAUUUUAUUUCAAGGCGCUUUCAGUUUCUUUUUGUACAUCCUUGCUAGUCAUGUAAGUUUCAAUCUUCAUGUAGUAAUUUAUCUCAAGUGAUGCUCCAUUUAGUUUCCAAGUUUUGGUUGGAUUUCUUGGCUGGAAACCUUGUCACCAAUUUAUGAACAAAAUGAACAUCAUUUAAUUUCCUAUGAAUUAUAUAUACUUUGCAGAAACGUUUCUCAAAAGUUUGUUCACUAACUUGUUGAUGUUCUUAGGUAUUUGGAGCUUUCUGGUACUUUUUAGCUAUCCAGCGAGAGACGGUUUGCUGGCAAAAUGCUUGUCGAAACAACAAUGGAUGUCAACCUACUACCUUCUACUGCAAUGGUCGUUCAAUCAGAAACAUCACAUUUCCGGACGACUUAUGCUCUAUGAAUCCACACAAUACUAAUGCAACACCCUUUGAUUUUGGUAUGUUUGUUGAGGCUGUCCAGUCUGGUGUGUUGGAGUCAACAAAUUUACCGAAAAAAUUCUUUCAUUGUUUCUGGUGGGGCUUGCGAAAUCUAAGGUUUGAACAUAAUUUUGCAUUACUGUAUUUUUUAGAAGGAACAAAUUUACAACUGUCUGGAUCCUAACGUUACUCUUUUACGUUGCCUAAAAUCACACACACAUAUGUAUAAAUGGUGUUUUAACUUGUAAUGUCUUUAACAUAGAUGAGAGGUCCUAGAAUAUUUUAUUACUUGCAGCACAUUGAAUUUAUUACUUGCAGUAAAUUGAAUAUAUUUCUUCUGUUUCGAAUCUGCAGUUCUCUCGGGCAAAACCUCGAGACGAGUAACUAUACAUGGGAAAAUAUCUUUGCCAUUUUUAUUUCUCUAAGUGGCUUGCUCCUGGUUGUACUAUACCUCCCUACAAAUUUGAAGGUUGGUGCCAGAACUUCUAAAUUAAACAUAAUGUAUCUUAAUUAACUUAGGGUUCGAAUGGGAGUGGUUCUGAAUAAGCAAAAAAUACUUCUCCAUAGAAUCACUUUAAGUAGUUUUAAGUGAUUUUCUGGAGAAUGACAUAAGAUAUGCUUCUCCCCUAAAGUGAUUUUAGGAGGGCAGAAUUUUUCCCAAAUGGCUCUUGGAGUUUUGUUGUAAGGAUCUCAAUCUUGGAGUUCAUCAAACAAUUAUUUUGGCUUAAUAAAGCUAGAUGGUGAUAUUUUUUUAUAAAAAAUAAAAUCGAAAAAUUAUAUAGAGACUAGAUGUCGUUUGACAAAUUGGUCAUUGGCAAAGCUAGAUGGUGUUGACAUGGAAAUUAGGGUUAAAAGAACUCAUGAUUGUCAUGUAACAGAUACGUAUGGAGUUGGUAACUAGAACAUCAGCCAAGAUGAGAAAUAUACAGCAGCAGGAAACGAAAUAUCGAGAGGUACUACGCUGGUUAUCUGAAAAUAACAUCCCUGAGGAUAUGAAGGGGACGAUCAUGCAAAAGGUGGACGAACAACUUGAACCAAACAAAGAUGUUCAUGUGGAGAAUAUCCUCCAUAUUCUUCCCUUGGAACAAAAGGGAUUUAUUAAGCGACAUCUCUGCUGGCCUAUAAUGAAGGAAGUAAGUUCCCCUCAUCUCCAAAGCGUUCAAUUUUUCGUUACUUUAAUUAGUAAAGGGAGAUGUUAGAUGUUAUUGGAACUCCAAAAUAGUCGUCUCCUUUCUUGUUAUUUUUAGAAUUUGUAGUUUAACAUGUCGUACUGUUUAACUUUCUUAAUUAACAUCUAAAAUUAGGUGCCAAUGCUUCGAGUUAUGGACGAUGAAGUGUUGAAAGAAAUCUUUGACAAUCUUAAGCCAGUGAGCUAUACAGAAGACAACCAUAUAAUUGUUGAGGGUGAACCACUUGUUAAAAUGCUCUUCAUCACUCAAGGCAUUUUGUUGACCUACACUAGAAACAAUGAUGCUGGAACCACCGAGUGUCUUGACAAAGGUAAGUUCUUUGGAGACGAGCUUCUGAUCUGGGCAUCAACAUUCUCCCCGUUUUCGGCCUUACCCAUCUCCACCAGAUUUGUCAAGCCCCUCACAAAAGUUGAAGCGUUUGCACUCAAGGCCAAUGACUUGAAGAUUAUAGCGUCUAAAUUCCCAGAGGCAUUUCGGAACAGAUGAUGAGAGAUGAUGGUACAAUCCAGUUGAUGACUAUUAUGACUCAUCCGGUCCACCUGGAGGACGGUGGAGUUUGAACUUGAGUCACUACUAGAAUAUGUAUUGAGUCAUUUUUCCUUAAACUACACAACUUUAGAAUCGUGCUCAAUGCUAUAUAUUUUAUUAUAAAAUAAAAAAAAAUUACACAACCCAGUUGCUACUUGCUUAGGCUGGAUUCCACACUCUUUUUGUUUUCACAAAAAUUGCAAACAUGAAAAAUUUGACGAAUAAACAAUCACAUUGAAUUUGAAAUUUCAGCAAAUUAGUAUUCGGAGCAUACGAAUGCAAUGAUAGAAUAUUUUCACAAGAACCAAGCGACCAAAUUUUGAAACAAGGAAAAUCACUAAAUACAUAAAACUUAAGAAACCAAAAACAACCAAAUCAAAUAACAAUAACAUUAAUUGAAAUUCCGUAAGGGUAUCACCCAUCCAUUCCUAAAUGAAAUUCAAAUUUGAAAAACAACAUAGGACAUCAAACACGGGUUGCUGACCUGUAGAACAUCUCAGGAUUGCAUGGCCUCUAAUGCCUCGGUUUUGUAAUACUCCCAGUCGCCGAGAACCCAUACCCACCAAAGCUUGACAUCAAGGGUCUAAUUUGCAUUUUCCACUUCAAGGAUAUGGGGAUAGAGGGAGAGAGCUAUCAAAAAAAAAAAAAAAAAGUGAAAGGAGAUUUGAGCAGUAGAGUGGAUCUGAUUUGGAGGCAGCAGCGAGACAGAGAGAGGGGUAGAUGCGACAGAAGAACGACUGAGAGGUUCUUUUGGGGAGGGGAUAGAGAACCGAUGAGAAGUUCUUAACAAGUUCUUUUGUGGGGAGAAAGAAGGCUUGAAUCAAGAAGGAUGGGUUAGAUAUGUUCUGGGGUUGGAAAAGAUUAGGGGAGGCGUGUGUUUUUAAACUUUGCUAUCAAUUAAAAAUAAAACAUAUUUAUUUUUUCUUUUGUUCUUUUUUAACUUUGAAGAUAAAAAGAAAUAGGGAAAUAACUGGGCUGUGUAAAAAAAAAAAAUAGAAAUAACUGGGCACAAAUGUAGUUUUUGUGUUUUAGCGUUGUUACAUCUGUCAGAUAAAGACACAAUUAUUUGUGUCCAAUAAAAAUUUGUGCUUUAUGUAAAUUGAUUCGACACAAUUAUUUGUGUUUCAUACAAAAAGAGCACGAAUAAAACUUAUUUGCGCUCAAUGUUAGAGAAAAGGGCACCCAACCU